AGCUCCAAUAGCGUAUAUUAAAGUUGUUGCAGAUAAAAAGCUCGUAGUUGGAUUUCGGAAUGGGUCAGUUGGUCCGCCUCACGGUGUGUUACUGACUGGUCUGUUCUUCUUCGCAAAGACUGUGUAUUCUCUUCACUGAGUGUGCUCAGGAUUUACGACGUUUACUUUGAAAAAAUUAGAGUGUUCAAAGCAGGCCUACCGCUUGAAUACAUGAGCAUGGAAUAAUGGAAUAGGACUUUGGUCUUAUUUUGUUGGUUUCUAAGACCGAAGUAAUGAUUAAGAGGGACAGUUGGGGGCAUUAGUAUUUCGUUGUCAGAGGUGAAAUGCUUGGAUUUACGAAAGACUAACAACUGCGAAAGCAUUUGCCAAGAAUGUUU
RNAcentral lists this ribosomal RNA (377 nucleotides) under uncultured eukaryote. RNAcentral describes it as "SSU rRNA". It matches the Rfam family "Eukaryotic small subunit ribosomal RNA", at positions 587 to 969 of the family's 1831-position model. The record is from RNAcentral.